This is a long non-coding RNA of Bactrocera neohumeralis, 2720 nucleotides long. RefSeq lists it as uncharacterized. NCBI's taxonomy places the organism in Eukaryota, Metazoa, Arthropoda, Insecta, Diptera, Tephritidae. The transcript has 8 exons. The record is from RefSeq and is a predicted model, not a curated record.
AGUGUCGCAUGCGGUUGCGCGUUUCUGCUUUUCAAUUAAAUAAAGGAUAUACUAAAACAAAAUAUCAAACUAACGGAAAUUGUGAGUUAGUGAAAUUCGUGCGUGAGUUGAAAACCAUAUGGCUUAAGUGAACUUUACUAUAAAAAUAUUAAAGUGUAAGAAUGCAGCUUUGUCUUGCUUGAGUUUCCAACAGUGUCACAAUAAUAUAUAUUUAUAUUUCAAAUUUAUUUGGCGACACUUCAGAUAAGUCGUCGUGUGUGCAUCGAAAUGCAAACUACGACUAAAUAUCCGACGCUACUUUACAUCCGCGCGUUGAAUAAAAAAGUGCAAAAAGUACAUUACAUUUGAAUAUAAAGAAUUAAAUUACUGGGUACAAUUCUUUGCGUCUUAUCGCCUUUCGGUCAUUAACAAUCGCUUCGCUAAGAAUAAAUAGAGACUGUUAGCACUGACUUACAUAUAUUGUUUACAUAUGCUCAAAAAAUUCAAAUUCCCACUGAAAGCUUUCAAAGUGUUAAAAAAAUAUUCCGCUCGAAAAUUUCCAUGGAAAAUAUACAUAUAUUUCAGAAGUCGCUCAACAUUUUACCAGUGAAUAUGUACAUUUUUCUUAAUUUGUGGAAUGCAGAAUUAGCAGAAGAUUAGCUUAUCUUCAAACAUAGCAAAACGAAACGAAACAAACCCAGUGGCGCGCAGUUUCGGAAGAUGAAAAAGCGUAAAUUUCAUGGAAGCGUUUAUCAACAAGGGAACGACUGCGCUAGGUGCGGCCUGCUUAUUCGACGACUCGACCUCAUCAGGAGAAACUGACAAUGAAUACAAUAAGGAUGCAGAUGAAAUUGUGCUAUUAACCCAUUACUUCCCAGCAUCGAAAUCAUUGGAAUUUUUUGAUGAAAUUUGUAACUUUGUCCCUUAGUACGUUAAGAAAGAAGAAUAUGAAAUAAAAAAAAUAAAAAACUCCUUCAUUGAUGAAUUAUAUAAAUAGGACACUGGGGAUGGGGAUGGAUUCAUUAGUUUUGGCGAUAAACGGGCGAAUUUUGAUAGCUUUGUCAGUGUUAUCGAUUUUCGAGUUAUCAUUGAAAUGUAAAUAGGACUUAAUUUUAUCAAAACGAUUGCGUGACAUUGAUUGUUCAAUAAAUGGAACGUGUACAUCAUCAUCUCUACACCAGUAAAGUUUACUUAGAGGCGAAUGGUGAUAUGAAGAGAAAAACAAAACUGCUACGAGUAUGAAAACUUUUAACUCAUUCACGCCUCGGCCGCUCAAUGCCAUAUCGUUCGAUCGCUCGCAAUAAUGUGCUACCACUGCACUCAUCAGCAAGCUCUACUUUACCGCCCGGUGCUUAUACGUCCUAUGGGCUUACCCCGACUACAACAACACCAUACCACGAAUCACAUCAUCUCAGCAGCAGCCAGGCCGCGCAUGCCAAUUUGCCAAGCUCAAGCACCAGCGUCGCUUCCUCAGCCAGUCCGCCGCCAUUUCACCGAACGCUGCCGGAACGGCGUUGCAUAGACUGCCGCCACACCACAGUAGCCAACAUCACGCCGGCCAUGCGACGGCAACAAUCGACGAAGAUGGCACCAGUCUCUUUUCGCCACUCUCACCUUGUGCGCCGCUUACCGCUGCCAUGGACAAGGACACUCACAUAUUCGUGUAUAAUGAGGCGAAAGCGAAGAAGACUCGUAAGCGUCUAAUUGCAAACCAUGUUGGCGAAAUUAUGGCUGAGGUACCGUGCCGCUUUUCAAUGAAUGUAAGCGAUGAGGAGGAUGUCAUUGGUUUGUUGGAUGAGGUGGAGCGGCGUCGACGUUGCUCUCGCACUGAUAGAAAGAAAUCCUGGAAGGGGAAGUGGGAGUGGUCGCUGAUGUGUUGAGUAGUGGCGUGGAAGAUGAAAACGGCGAAGAGGAUUAUCUAGAGUUGGAGAGUGGCAAAUGGAUGUCACAGAUAAUAAUUCUGCACAAUUACGCUACAUGAGGCUUCCACUCGCUUGAUGCAAUUAGUGUUUGGAUUAAUGGGGCAGGAGCCGGACACUUGGAUGCUGAUUUAUUAAACAGGACGUUUGGAGUGCUCGUUGGCUGUAAAGUCAUCGAAAGCUGAGAGACCUGCGCAGGUGAUGCAAUUGGCAGCCCACAGAGAUACCAAAAUGUAUGGAUUUAUUUGUGUGAGUCGUCGAUCGCUUUAUGCCAUACCGUUCAACUACUCGUUACAAUGUGCUGCCACCGCACUUAUCAAGGAGCUCAACUUUGCUGUCCAGUUGUAAUAACACCAUACUAUAAAUCACACUACCUUUGCAACACUCGUCCAGAAGCCAGUCCGCCGUAAUAACGCUGGUCCGCUGAGAGGUGGCGCAGAGGAUGAAAGCGGCGACCAGGAUUAUCUGAAAUGGAUGGUGGAAAGCGGAAGCAUAGAGUAAUUAAUUAGCAUUGUUUAUGAAGCUGGAAUCUCAAUGAACUCCAUUUAUGCUCUUUGUGAUCAAUUCGAAGUUUUAUUAUUGGCAUAAAGCAAACCAAAUAAAAUGUGCAUCAGAAGAACUACGAGGAGUUCGCGGCAAUAUACACCCGAUGUUCACUUAAACUUGGUGCGUCAGCAUGCGGCCGUUAUGGAAGAGCUGAUCGGAGAAACCAAUAGACAAACGUAUUUACUUCACUCUAAAUUAACUAUUUUUUAUUUGAAUAAAAAAUGCGCAAAUAAAACUUUGCGCUAAAUUAGUUUUUAAACAAACUGAUCCUUGGAA